This 461-nucleotide ribosomal RNA is filed under the name uncultured bacterium. RNAcentral describes it as "bacterial SSU rRNA". It matches the Rfam family "Bacterial small subunit ribosomal RNA", at positions 28 to 507 of the family's 1533-position model. The record is from RNAcentral.
GAUGAACGCUGGCGGUAUGCCUAACACAUGCAAGUCGUACGAGAGUUUUUAACUCUAGUGGCGACGGGUGAGUAACACGUGAGAAUUUGCCUUUAGGAGGGGGAUAACAAUUGGAAACGAAUGCUAAUACCCCAUAUGCUUUUGAGUGAAAUGGAUUUUAUCCGCCUAGAGAGAAGCUCGCGGCUGAUUAGCUUGUUGGUAAGGUAAGAGCUUACCAAGGCGACGAUCAGUAUCUGGUUUGAGAGGACGAUCAGACACACUGGAACUGAGACACGGCCCAGACUCCUACGGGAGGCAGCAGUGGGGAAUUUUGGACAAUGGGGGAAACCCUGAUCCAGCCAUUCCGCGUGUGCGAUGAAGGCCUUCGGGUUGUAAAGCACUUUUGGCAGGAAAGAAAUCGCACGGGUUAAUAACCCGUGUGGAUGACGGUACCUGCAGAAUAAGCACCGGCUAACUACGUG